CUACGGGUUGCUGCAGUGAGGAAUAUUGCACAAUGGGGGGAACCCUGAUGCAGCAACGCCGCGUGGAGGAUGACGCAUUUCGGUGUGUAAACUCCUUUUAUAUGUCAAGAAAAUGACGGUAGCAUAUGAAUAAGUACCGGCUAACUCCGUGCCAGCAGCCGCGGUAAUACGGAGGGUGCAAGCGUUACUCGGAAUCACUGGGCGUAAAGGACGCGUAGGCGGGUUGGAAAGUCAGGUGUGAAAUCCUACAGCUUAACUGUAGAACUGCACUUGAAACUUCUAAUCUAGAGUAUGGGAGGGGGAGAUGGAAUUAGUGGUGUAGGGGUAAAAUCCGUAGAUAUCACUAGGAAUACCUAAAGCGAAGGCGAUCUCCUGGAACAUUACUGACGCUAGGGCGUGAAAGCGUGGGGAGCAAACAGGAUUAGAUACCCCAGUAGUC
Molecule: ribosomal RNA, 439 nt
Filed under: uncultured bacterium
Lineage: Bacteria
Description: partial 16S ribosomal RNA
Rfam family: Bacterial small subunit ribosomal RNA
Source: RNAcentral